Cygnus olor (mute swan) is the source of this 2327-nucleotide long non-coding RNA. RefSeq lists it as uncharacterized. Lineage: Eukaryota; Metazoa; Chordata; Aves; Anseriformes; Anatidae. The record is from RefSeq and is a predicted model, not a curated record. The transcript has 3 exons.
UUAUGAAAAUGCCUUUUUUGUUUGUUUUGUUUUCAGGGCUUUGCCACUGUGUAUUGGUUGCUGUAUAAAAGAAUUUUCUACAUUGACAAAGUAUUCAGGGUGUUUGUCACACUGCUAUAUUGAUAGUGGCAGUUCCACUGCUAUUAUGAUUUUAAAUCUCUUCUAGAAAAGGCUGGAGAAGCUAACUUCAGCAGCAUUUAAGACUCCACACGUCAGGGAUGCAUUAAACAUCCUUCUGGAAGGACCUGAGAUGGCUGCACAUAUUACAGAGCUUUUAAAUGAGCUUCUAAUGAUGUCAGAUGAGCCCCUAACAACCAACGGAUGCCAAGCUUUUCUCUCUUUCUGUGAUGAUUUAGUGAUCAAUAGCAGUAAAAGAAUCCAGGCAAUACAGUGGAGUGUAUUGCUACUCAUCUCAAAUGGUUGUUUAACUUUAAAGAUAAGCUUCAUGGUGUUUCCAGUGAUAACAAUGAUUAAUGCUUCCUUUGCCGUUGACUGCUCUGUACUCCUGUUUUCUUCCUCUGUAGGGUUUGUAGACUAUAUGAGAAGUUGACUGCUGUCUCUCCCAGCAGGUCACUUCCAGCCAUGCCUAGCUGCUACUUAAAAGACUCAUUAUGAUGAUGGAUUCAUAUCUGGUUUUACAGAUCUGUCUGAGUGCCUUCUUCCUGAAGACACCGCUGUACUUUGUUCUGGGAGGUGUGAAAAGCAAGAAGAGAAAUUGACCUACCUAUAAUCCUAUCUGGAAACAUCCAAGGAGUUGGAGAACAGCCUGGGGCAUCGUUCUGAUCCGCUCUUUAAAGUAGAUUGUGCACAGUGCAAUAGUGGGCUUCUAGGGGAGGGACUAUUUGGCCAGAAAUCAGAGCUUGCAGAGAGUUGUUAACUGCAGGGACCUUUGCCCCACUCCCAUGUAAAUGUUCUGCUGGAGAAGAUGCAGCUUUUGCUUAUUUCUAUAGUGUCUGCUUGGAGCUAAAGGUGAGGAGGUUUUGAACACUGUAUUGGUGAAACACACAAAGGUGCAAGACAGUAAUGUCAUCUUCUGGAGAAGUGUGUUUUCCCUUGAAGGACAGGCAAGUGAGGGUGGUAGAGCAGUAGGUGCUUGCUAGCAGUCCUGAGGCAGGUGGAGGCCCGUUUGAAAGAAGAGUAUCUGUUAACACAGAGUACAAAGGUUGUGAUGGACCUAUAAAAUACAGCUGUUGGACUGGGGCAUAGGGAAAGGGGAAGUAUGUCACAAAUCCUGUUCAAUUUCUUGAUUAGUAUUUCUCCUGCAGGUCCCCCCCUCCCCCCACCAUAACAAAGGAUCAUCUGUGUGAUGAAGAGUGUGUAUUCAUUACUUUCUCAACUAACAUGAAAAGCUGCAAAGCCUUGGAUGCUGAUCCUGGCUGAAACAAUUUCACUUUGGGAUUUGGUCAGCUCUGCUGGAAUUUGUAUGUUCUCCCCACGCUGGAUACCUUCCCUCUGGGCUUCCCCCUCUCCUUCUGGACCUGCAGUAUACAGUGUGGCAGCGUGACGAUUCAGGCAGGCCCUAAAAAACUGUUGACAAAGGCCUUGCUGGAAACUUAAUUUCUUGGCCUUUCGAGAAUCCUUAACUUGGAGAACCAAUUGUUUUGCUGUCCUUUGGUUUCAAUUCUAUUUCUCAAAUCUUGAUUACUCAGUUUGCUUUUAAAGAAAGCCUUCCCCUCCCCCUCUUUUUUUUAAACAAACUUUGAUGCCAGUGCAAAAUCCUUCCCUCUGCGAGGAAGAGAGUUUCUGCAGAUAUGUGGAAAACUGCCUGAGGAAAGGAUGGAAAUGAGAAAGAGAAGACAUUUCAUAGACAUUUUCUUGAUUACUGGUUCCUGAAAUCAAGACCUCCUGCUGCAGUGUAGGGAAUCAGAAUUGCCCAUCACUUCAUUUUUUUUUUUUCCUCUGUCCCUGUAGAGUUGUAUGAAAGAUGAUUUUAGUUGUCUUUCCACAUUCCUUUUGAACUUCAUUUAUUUUGGGAAAAAAAUACUCCAAAUAAUGUUGUAUUUUAUAGGUCCUAUAAAUAAUAAUUUCUUCUGACUGUAAAGAAAGAUACAAGGCUUGCUUAGUGAGACUGCAGAUGAGAUUUCAGUUAUCCAUACUUAAGUAGAUGAGGAAAGUAACUGAAAGAUGGAAGUAGUUUUACGUUAACCAAUUUUCUAUAAAACAAUGGCAAGACCUGGGCUGACUGAACAAUGUAAUGAGUUAUUUGAAUGUUUGACAAGUGAUGAAAAACGUCAACCUGCAGUUUUUAUGGGGGAAAUAAACUUUCAUAAGUUUACUCUGGAUACAAAUUAAUAGGGAUUUCAGAAUGAUCACUUCUGCAGCCAAAU